RNAcentral lists this ribosomal RNA (705 nucleotides) under Triticum aestivum (bread wheat). RNAcentral describes it as "partial small subunit ribosomal RNA". The record is from RNAcentral. Lineage: Eukaryota; Viridiplantae; Streptophyta; Magnoliopsida; Poales; Poaceae.
AUGUUCCCGGCUGCUAAACUGCUUCCACAAGCUUCGUUGAUCUCGGACCACUGUCCACUACUGCUCCAGAACGACGAGAUAAUCAAAACAAACAAAAGAUUCAGAUUUGAAGCAUAUUGGCAAUAUGUCCAGGGGUUUAAGGAGGUCGUCCAGCAAUCCUGGGCUCGGCCGGUCAGAGACAGAUCUCCCAUCACAAGUUUUAAUACGAAGCUUUGGCGCCUUAGUAAAGACCUUAGAGCCUGGAGCAAAUCGACCGUGGGCGACAUCCAAAAGCAACUGCACCUGGCCAAUGAAAUUAUCUUGCAGCUGGACACCGCUCAAGAUUUCCGGGCCCUCUCUUCGGACGAGCGCAACCUGCGUUCCAAGCUAAAAUCCAGAACGUUGGGGUUGGCUGUCCUGCUGAAAAUCAAGUUACGACAAAGAAGCAGGGUGCUUUGGCUUAAGGCCGGAGACGCCAAUACUCGUUUCUUUCAGCGAAAAGCAAACGCUAGGCACACUCGCAACACAAUCCACAGCUUGAACGGACCAUUGGGGCCGGUGUCAAGCACCGUGGCCAUGACUGAUUUGGCACAACAGCACUUCACACACAUUUUCGGCGUCGAGCAACGAACCCCUUCUGGCCUCAACUGGGAUGAACUUGGGCUGGAUCACGCGGAUCUCUCGGACAUUGAAGGGACCUUUUCAAUGGAUGAGGUCAAACAAGCG